Molecule: non-coding RNA, 624 nt
Organism: Macaca mulatta (Rhesus monkey)
Lineage: Eukaryota; Metazoa; Chordata; Mammalia; Primates; Cercopithecidae
Source: RefSeq, a predicted model, not a curated record
AUUAGCUUUGUAGAGAGAGAUAAUGAGUCAGUGUUCCGUCCCAUGAAUCUGGGGAGAAGCUGAAGUGAUGGACUGCCACCCACCCUGAUGCCCUCCUAGACCCUUCUUGCGUUCUCCUCCAGCUCUGACAUUCCUGGAAAGGAAUUUCUCCUCCUGCACAGCCUCAACUCACAUAGUGCACAGCCUCAACUCACAUAGUCCCCAGCCCGCCCCUUGGGAAGUCCUUCCUCCAGUCUAAUCCUAGUCCUUCCUGCUGUAGAGCACAUGAGGUGCAACCUGCCUUAAUCAAGGGAAAACAGGGAAGACAUGACUGAAGGAAGGACCCUUGACAGAGAACCAAGAGGCAGUUACCCUACCUACUACGGAAGCUGCUAGAGAGGCAGUGGCCCUGUGGGGUCAGAGUUUGAAGGAUCCACAGACCAGCUCAACUCUUCCUGACAGAGGAAGCAACUGGGACACCCCCACUGGUCCCUGGAAUAUGACCUUGUGACUUGAUGUGUGAGAAGGUAGGUAGGGUGGUAAGUAGGAAUCCCCAGCCCCCAGACUGCCUUCCCUACACCUGGCUGGGCAUGGUGGCUCAUGCCCGUAAUCUCAGCACUUUGGGAAGCCGAGGUGGGAGGAUCA